GGCUGGAUGGUGUAUAGGCAACACAUCUGCAUUGAAUAUCAAGCCAACUGUGCCACAGUUGUACUCUAUCUUCUGCAAAUGAGCCCUGUUCGAUUCGGGGUCCAGUCA
Non-coding RNA from Lyophyllum atratum, 108 nucleotides. The record is from the annotation of a GenBank genome assembly. NCBI's taxonomy places the organism in Eukaryota, Fungi, Basidiomycota, Agaricomycetes, Agaricales, Lyophyllaceae.